AGAUUGAACGCUGGCGGCAUGCCUAACACAUGCAAGUCGAACGGGUGUAGCAAUACAUCAGUGGCAGACGGGUGAGUAACACGUGGGAACCUUCCUAGGGGUACGGAACAACUCAGGGAAACUUGAGCUAAUACCGUAUACGUCCGUAAGGAGAAAGAUUCAUCGCCCCUAGACGGGCCCGCGUCGGAUUAGGUAGUUGGUGGGGUAACGGCCUACCAAGCCUACGAUCCGUAGCUGAUCUGAGAGGAUGAUCAGCCACACUGGGACUGAGACACGGCCCAGACUCCUACGGGAGGCAGCAGUGGGGAAUAUGGACAAUGGGCGCAAGCCUGAUCCAGCCAUGCCGCGUGAGUGAUGAAGGCCCUAGGUUGUAAAGCUCUUUCGGCGGGGAAGAUAAUGACGGUACCGCAGAAGAAGCCCGGCUAACUCGUGCCAGCAGCCGC
Molecule: ribosomal RNA, 443 nt
Filed under: uncultured soil bacterium
Lineage: Bacteria
Description: bacterial SSU rRNA
Rfam family: Bacterial small subunit ribosomal RNA
Source: RNAcentral